Molecule: ribosomal RNA, 1063 nt
Filed under: uncultured Bacteroidales bacterium
Lineage: Bacteria; Pseudomonadati; Bacteroidota; Bacteroidia; Bacteroidales
Description: bacterial SSU rRNA
Rfam family: Bacterial small subunit ribosomal RNA
Source: RNAcentral
AACGCUAGCUACAGGCUUAACACAUGCAAGUCGAGGGGCAGCGGGGAUCUAGCUUGCUAGAUUUGCCGGCGACCGGCGCACGGGUGAGUAACACGUAUCCAACCUGGCCCAUACUCGGGUAUAGCCUCUCGAAAGGGAGAUUAAUCCCCGAUGUUGUCGUUGCACCGCAUGGUACAUCGACCAAAGAAAUUCGGUAUGGGAUGGGGAUGCGUUCCAUUAGCUUGUUGGCGGGGUAACGGCCCACCAAGGCUACGAUGGAUAGGGGUUCUGAGAGGAAGGUCCCCCACACUGGAACUGAGACACGGUCCAGACUCCUACGGGAGGCAGCAGUGAGGAAUAUUGGUCAAUGGACGAGAGUCUGAACCAGCCAAGUAGCGUGAAGGAAGACUGCCCUACGGGUUGUAAACUUCUUUUAUACGGGAAUAAAGUGCCUUACGUGUAGGGUUUUGUAUGUACCGUAUGAAUAAGCAUCGGCUAAUUCCGUGCCAGCAGCCGCGGUAAUACGGAAGAUGCGAGCGUUAUCCGGAUUUAUUGGGUUUAAAGGGAGCGUAGGCGGGUUUUUAAGCCAGCUGUGAAAGUUUGCGGCUCAACCGUAAAAUUGCAGUUGGAACUGGAGACCUUGAGUGUGCAUAAGGUGGAUGGAAUUCGUGGUGUAGCGGUGAAAUGCUUAGAUAUCACGAAGAACUCCGAUUGCGAAGGCAGCCUUCUGGGGUGCAACUGACACUGAUGCUCGAAAGUGUGGGUAUCGAACAGGAUUAGAUACCCUGGUAGUCCACACAGUAAACUAUGGAUACUCGCUGCCGGCGAUACACAGUCGGUGGCUUAGCGAAAGCGUUAAGUAUCCCACCUGGGGAGUACGCCGGCAACGGUGAAACUCAAAGGAAUUGACGGGGGCCCGCACAAGCGGAGGAACAUGUGGUUUAAUUCGAUGNUNCGCGAGGAACCUUACCCAGGCUCGAACGGCAAUCUGAAUGUUGGUAGAGAUACUUUCAGUCUUCGGACAGGUUGUCGAGGUGCUGCAUGGUUGUCGUCAGCUCGUGCCGUGAGGUGUCGGCUUAAGUGC